This is a long non-coding RNA of Hevea brasiliensis (rubber tree), 2642 nucleotides long. RefSeq lists it as uncharacterized. The record is from RefSeq and is a predicted model, not a curated record. NCBI's taxonomy places the organism in Eukaryota, Viridiplantae, Streptophyta, Magnoliopsida, Malpighiales, Euphorbiaceae. The transcript is spliced from 2 exons.
UGCUAGGGAUGGAAAUUGGGUGGGUGGAUUGCGUCUUGCAACCCCCCAUACCAUCCCUGUCUCUGUAUAAACCACCUCCCCCCUCCUCUUCCUUCCAUUGUGGAGUUUUUGUGUAUGUUCAAAAGCCAGAAUAUGGCCCUUAAUUUGUUUCAGACAAUUUCUUAUUUAUUUUUUAUUUUAACUUUAUUCUUAAGUAGCUUCUAGUGGGGAGAGCUUAUCCUCCAGUUAUCUUUCUUUUUAAAUAAAAUCUCUAUUCUAAUACACACACACACACACACACACACACACACACACACACACACACACACACACACACACAAAGCGUAGAAUUGGACUAAAUGAGGACAAUUAUGCAUGGGUUUUAUUUUUUGGAGGAUACAUUCUUCUUGUAAAUCAAUUCUAAGUAACUGUGAUUUGAGUGCUCUUAAGUGGACUUUUAAAACCUACUGCUCCUUGCAGUGGGUGAUUGGGGCACUAGAAGAAAGAAGCAACCUGGUUUGUGGAAUUAGUUGGAGUGAUCCAUAUUAAAAAAAAAAAAUUGCUUCUUGGAAAAGAAAUGGGCUGAUUUGUGCAAUUGAUCUCAUGGUUUGUUAGAAUCCCUUAAUUAGUGUAAAUCCAUUAAUUAGUGUAAAUUAGCUAUAAAUUAGAAUAUAAUUAGGAAUUAUUGUAUUUAUUAAUUUCCUAUUUAGUCUUAGCCUUUGUAUAUAAAUUAGAAUUCUUGUAAAUCAUUUUAGUAUGAAGAGAUAUAAAAGAAAUUCUCUAAAUUCUCUGUCUUUUACAUGGUAUCAGAACUGUGCCAAAAUAUUUUGGCGUGAACAGUGUAGUUCUGGGUAGUUUUUUUUUUGGUGGGUCAAGCUUCUACGUCGUUCUAGGAAAGGAGGUGACUGUCACCACCCACCUGAGGAGGAAGGACACUAGCCAAUCUGCCUACGCUAGGAGUCCCGCCGCCGUCCGGUGAAGCGCGUGAGCUCACGCGCCUCCAGAACCCUCGGGUUAUUUUUCAUGUGCCGGCGUGUGCACCCUUUUUCCGGUGAUUUCUCUGGCUGUGCCUCUUGCCGACGACAUUCCCUGUCUGGCACGCCUCUAACCAACGUGUUUCCACACCUGGUUUGCACAUUUAUUUUUUGGUACCUUUCGUUGCCCAGUUUCUUGCUUUCUGCCUCAGUACCUAUUCUUUUAAUUGAAAAAUGAUCGAUGGAAAGAAGAAAGCCUCUGAAAUAAAGGUUGGAUUUGUCGGUGAUAAUCCCUCUUUACAAAUUAAUCCUGUAAAGUUGGAUGGAACUAAUUAUUUGGCAUGGUCUAGAUCCUAUCUACUAUUCAUUCAGGUUAGAGAACUGCAGUGGCAUAUCACUGGAGAUAAGAAAAAGCCAGAAAGUGCUAGUUCUACCUACAAUCAAUAGGAGUCGGAGAACUCUCUUGUUAUGUCAUGAAUCAUCAAUUCUAUGCAACCUCAUAUAGCUCGUGGGUAUUUACUGUUGGACAGUGCAGCUACCAUUUGGAGUGCUGUUUAUCAGACUUAUUCUCAAGUUGGGAAUGAUGCACAAGUUUAUGAGCUUAGUAACAAGGUUCAUGGAAUGAAACAAGAUGAGUUGACUGUUGCUCAGUAUUAUGCGGAAAUGAGUGGUCUAUGGCAAGAGUUGGAUUUCUAUUAGGACUUUCAGGCUUCAUGUCCGGCUGAUGCAGUUAAGUUCCAGAAAUUGAUUGAGAAGGAGCGCAUAUGUGAUUUUUUUGCUGGACUAAAUGUGGAGUAUUAUUAGAUUCGGGUCUAAGUACUUGGUAAGGAUCCUUUACCCACCUUAAGGAAGGCAUAUUCUUAUUUUCUGCAAGAGGAGAGCAGAAGGAGUGUCAUGAUCAAUUCUACAGCUGGGCUGACUGCUAACUCCUUACGAGAAUAGUCACAUAGUCCAUCAGAUAAGAAUCACUUGCAUUGUGACUACUGUGGGAAAUCCCGGCGCACCAAAGAAUAAUGUUGGAAGUUGCAUGGCCGCCCAACUAAAGGGCGUGGAGGAAAAAGGAUGGGCUCUGCUAGACCACAAGCAUAUGUAUCUGAGCCUGUGAGUGUUUCUGAAGAUACUGCUAUCACUGGGAUGUUUUCCAAUGAAGAGGUACAGGCUCUAAGGCGAUUCCUGUCACAGCUUAAAUCACAAUCCACUACAGUUGCCUCUUCUAACUUCGUCAACUCUGGUAAUGCUUUUCUUGCCAAUCAUAAUAAUUCAUUUUGGGUUAUAGAUUCUGGAGCAAACAAACAUAUGACAGGCUCUUCGAAUAAAUUCAUAUCCCAUUCUCCAUGAUCAGGCAAAGAAAAAGUCCGCUCUGCAGAUGGAUCCUUAUCUAAUGUUUUUGAAACAGGAAUUGAUAACAGGGAGAAUGAUUGACAGUGGUAGACUGCAAUAUGGGCUAUAUUUAUUGAAUGAUUGUGUUGAUCAGGCCAUGUUGGGACAAUCUAUGGGUGCUGAGGAAGAAAUUAUCCAGUGGCAUAGGAGACUUUGACAUCCUUCAUUUACUGUUUUAGAGAAACUUUAUCCUCUUUUGUUUAAGCAAUGUAAAAGUGAAUUGUUAGUAUGUGAUGCUUGUGAGUUUGCCAAACAUACUAGACAAUCUUAUCCUGCAAUAAAUAAUAAGGCUUCAGUUCCUUUUAUGAC